Molecule: unclassified non-coding RNA, 207 nt
Filed under: soil metagenome
Description: partial contains 5.8S ribosomal RNA, internal transcribed spacer 2, and large subunit ribosomal RNA
Source: RNAcentral
AACACUGUUAACCUGCGGUACCUGCGGAAGGAUCAUUAACAAGCUGUGGGAGAUCAAUUUGAUCUCACACCUGGCCAACCUUGUUAACCUUAAAUAUAUUGCUUUGGUGAGCCCUGCUCACCAAAGUCAAACCCUAAACUCUUGAUUGUUUCUGCUGUCUGAGCAUGCAAGUGCAAAAUUUAGUUAAAAACUUUCAACAAUGGAUCU